AAGAAGAAGAAAAAGAAAAAGAAAUAUCCCAUCAUGAUAAGGAAUUGAAAGUAACAAUCAAAUCCAAACCGUGUGAGAGUGUUAGUAGUAGUAGUACUAGUUCGCCCUUCAAACUCAAUGCUCAGGCACCUGAAUUCGUCCCAAGAUCUCAUUCUCCCACCACCGCCGCUCAGACCCAGAUGCCAAUUUCUGGUUAUUUCUAUCCUUGCUUUCAUUAUCUUGGAGCUACUGCUGGAUCUGACUGGUUUUUCCUUGGGGAACAAGACCCUCAUGCCUAUUUGAUCUCUAAUCCAAAUCCUGCUUUGCCCAAUUCCUCCAAUAAGACUACUCUUCUUACCGAUGAUCUUCGCCAGAAGAUCCUCAAACAGGUGGAGUACCAGUUCAGUGACAUGAGUCUUCUUGCAAAUGAGUCCAUGUCAAAACACAUAAGCAAAGAUCCUGAAGGUUAUGUACUGAUAUCUGUCAUUGCUUCCACGAAGAAAAUGAAGUCCCUAGUCAAUAAUAACCAUUUGCUUGCCCAGGCACUCCAGUCCUCUUCAAAACUUGUUGUCAGUGAAGAUGGCAAGAAAGUUAAACGUAAAGUCCCUUUUACUGAGAAAGACAGAGAAGAAUUGCUGUCUCGUACUGUUGUGGUGGAGAAUUUGCCUGAAGAUCACUCUCAUCAAAACCUUGAGAAAAUAUUUAGUGUGGUUGGAAGGUUAAAUUUAUAACUUAAUAUUUCUUUACUUGUUUUAGUAUAUAUCUUUGUUUCAUAUUAAUAAUUGCCAUACAUAAGCAGUGUAAGAACCAUCAGAAUAUGUCAUCCUCAAGAAUCCAAUUCUUCUCGUAAUAAAAGUGAUUUCUUCAUGAGCAACAAGCUGCAUGCACUUGUGGAGUUUGAGAAUCCAGAUACAGCAGAAAAAGCGGUUGAGAAGUUGAAUGACGAAAGGGAUUGGAGGAAAGGCCUUCGAGUUAGGGUGCUGCCCAGAUGCUCCCCAAAAUCUGUUCUCAAGAGCAGAAAGUCUGACUUCGAUGGCCUUUUGGAUGAAGAAGAUUUUCCAGUUCCUGAAUCAAAUGAAGAUUCUUCUCAAAUGCACAAUGCAGAACCUGCCACAGAGAGUAAUGUGGAAGAAAAUUCAGGGUCAUUGAAGAAGGGAUGGGCAAAAGGUCGUGGCAAGGGCAGAGGACGUGGUCAAAGCCAUGGUGGGCGAGGCCUGCUUGCCCCUUCCCCACAGUCUGUUAGCUCUCCCCAGUGUGAAGCGUCUGGUAAACAUACCUUCAGGGGUCCAAGAAUGCCAGAUGGGACCAGGGGUUUCACCAUGGGUCGUGGGAAGCCACUAGGAAGUCCAGCUGUGGGCAGUCCAAUGGUGGAAUAAAUGGGUAUUUUUGUUUUUUAAUCAAUUAGUUACUAAGUGGCUUAGUUACUAUUAAGCUGCUCUACAUUUUUUUAUAUAGUUAGAGAAGCAAGAAUUGGUUACGGAGCCAAUAAGGUUUGGCCUGUUAUAUGACUUUAGGCACUGUGGAUGUUUCUUAAUAAUCUGAGGUGUAUAGUAUGGUUUGUCUCUGUGACAACCGCUGUAGGAAUUGCAAUAUUCUCCUUGCAUGACAUUUUUGGAUGGUUUGUUGUUCUGGGUUGGAUUCUCUGUGUUAUUGAUUGUAUAAACACUUUGAAUAAUGAAUUUGAGGGGUACAUCCAUCUCUCU
Molecule: unclassified non-coding RNA, 1682 nt
Filed under: Hevea brasiliensis (rubber tree)
Lineage: Eukaryota; Viridiplantae; Streptophyta; Magnoliopsida; Malpighiales; Euphorbiaceae
Source: RNAcentral